CCUACGGGAGGCAGCAGUGAGGAAUAUUGGUCAAUGGACGAGAGUCUGAACCAGCCAAGUAGCGUGAAGGAUGACUGCCCUAUGGGUUGUAAACUUCUUUUAUAUGGGAAUAAAACGUUCCACGUGUGGGAUUUUGUAUGUACCAUAUGAAUAAGGAUCGGCUAACUCCGUGCCAGCAGCCGCGGUAAUACGGAGGAUCCGAGCGUUAUCCGGAUUUAUUGGGUUUAAAGGGAGCGUAGGUGGAUUGUUAAGUCAGUUGUGAAAGUUUGCGGCUCAACCGUAAAAUUGCAGUUGAAACUGGCAGUCUUGAGUACAGUAGAGGUGGGCGGAAUUCGUGGUGUAGCGGUGAAAUGCUUAGAUAUCACGAAGAACUCCGAUUGCGAAGGCAGUUCACUGGACUGCAACUGACACUGAGGCUCGAAAGUGUGGGUAUCAAACAGGAUUAGACACCCUUGUAGUC
RNAcentral lists this ribosomal RNA (460 nucleotides) under uncultured bacterium. Its description in RNAcentral is "partial 16S ribosomal RNA". It matches the Rfam family "Bacterial small subunit ribosomal RNA", at positions 338 to 795 of the family's 1533-position model. The record is from RNAcentral.